CUUAUCUUUUUUUCCAGCCUUGCACUUGGGGCAGCCAAUAGAGGUAAGAAUCUGAACUUCACGGGUCUAAGUGAAAUUACCCUUUCCCAAAAUAAAAUAAAAAACAUGGGAGUUAUUGAAAAUCCUUUUCAGUUUCAGAAAUAGUCCAACGCGUUUCCUCCUCCUAGAAGAAGCAGUACAACUCUACCCAGACGACCAUCUCCUAGAUCUCCCUCUCAUCAUUCUAAGUCUUUAUCAAAAUGGUACUAGCUUCUUCUUCAAUUUCAUAAGAUUCUCUUCGUUUUGAUUUACUUUUUUCACAAGUUCAAGAAUUACUAUAACGCAUGGAGAAACUUGCCUCAGUUUACUGUUUAAUACAAUUUCUGCUAAUACCCUUUUGGAGUUCUCUAAUACUGCUUGGAUGUUAUUAAUCCUUCUUUUUUUUCCUUUUGAUUUUUUUGCAGACUUAUUUAGAAGAAAGAUCAACGG
RNAcentral lists this long non-coding RNA (468 nucleotides) under Nicotiana tabacum (common tobacco). RNAcentral's name for it is "long non-coding RNA (NTAB_LNC019213)". The record is from RNAcentral. Lineage: Eukaryota; Viridiplantae; Streptophyta; Magnoliopsida; Solanales; Solanaceae.